RNAcentral lists this ribosomal RNA (497 nucleotides) under uncultured bacterium. RNAcentral's name for it is "partial 16S ribosomal RNA". It matches the Rfam family "Bacterial small subunit ribosomal RNA", at positions 28 to 507 of the family's 1533-position model. The record is from RNAcentral.
GACGAACGCUGGCGGCGUGCCUAAUACAUGCAAGUUGAGCGCUGAAGGUUGGUACUUGUACCAACUGGAUGAGCAGCGAACGGGUGAGUAACGCGUGGGGAAUCUGCCUUUGAGCGGGGGACAACAUUUGGAAACGAAUGCUAAUACCGCAUAAAAACUUUAAACACAAGUUUUAAGUUUGAAAGAUGCAAUUGCAUCACUCAAAGAUGAUCCCGCGUUGUAUUAGCUAGUUGGUGAGGUAAAGGCUCACCAAGGCGAUGAUACAUAGCCGACCUGAGAGGGUGAUCGGCCACAUUGGGACGGAGACACGGCCCAAACGCCUACGGGAGGCAGCAGUAGGGAAUCUUCGGCAAUGGACGAAAGUCUGACCGAGCAACGCCGCGUGAGGGAAGAAGGUUUUCGGAUCGUAAAACUCUGUUGGUAGAGAAGAACGUUGGUGAGAGUGGAAAGCUCAUCAAGUGACGGUAACUACCCAGAAAGGGACGGCUAACUACGUG